Molecule: long non-coding RNA, 231 nt
Filed under: Oryza brachyantha (malo sina)
Lineage: Eukaryota; Viridiplantae; Streptophyta; Magnoliopsida; Poales; Poaceae
Description: long non-coding RNA (OBRA_LNC003052)
Source: RNAcentral
UAAGAUCGAGUUUGAUCAAUUAAUUAGCUCAUCACAACCUUAUUACUUCUGUUAAUUUGUCAUCUAAUCGCAGCAGAUCGAUCUGGGUUAAGUUGUUAUUAGUGCAUGGAUUACAAUAAUCCGACGGUUUAAUUAGUGUAGCUAGCUAGUAGUUCAUGUGUUUGUAGUUGCAUGGAUCAUCGAGCUGUGCAGUGAACUGAAGUGCAUGCAUAUAUAGAUCACGUAGAGGAG